RNAcentral lists this transfer RNA (68 nucleotides) under Rhizophagus aeneus. Its description in RNAcentral is "tRNA-Asn". The record is from RNAcentral. Lineage: Eukaryota; Metazoa; Arthropoda; Insecta; Coleoptera; Monotomidae.
UUAAUUGAAACCAAAAAGAGGUAUGCUACUGUUAAUAGCAUUAAUGGAAUACUCCCCCCCCAAUUAAU